Molecule: unclassified non-coding RNA, 266 nt
Filed under: Ascomycota sp.
Lineage: Eukaryota; Fungi; Ascomycota
Description: partial contains small subunit ribosomal RNA, internal transcribed spacer 1, and 5.8S ribosomal RNA
Rfam family: Eukaryotic small subunit ribosomal RNA (bases 1-47)
Source: RNAcentral
AAAGUCGUAACAAGGUUUCCGUAGGUGAACCUGCGGAAGGAUCAUUAAAUAUCGGUAGUUUACUGCCGUUUGAGGGAGGUGGAAACUGUGCGGCUAAUAGCUGUACAGAAGUACACUUCUUUUCUUAACCCUUGACUUUUUGCGCACUUGUGUUUCCUCGGCAGGCUUGCCUGCCGGUUGGACAAUCCAAUAACCUUUUUAAUUUUCAAUCAGCGUCUGAAUUAUUUUAAUAAUUACAACUUUCAACAACGGAUCUCUUGGUUCUG